Amblyraja radiata (thorny skate) is the source of this 289-nucleotide long non-coding RNA. RefSeq lists it as uncharacterized. NCBI's taxonomy places the organism in Eukaryota, Metazoa, Chordata, Chondrichthyes, Rajiformes, Rajidae. The record is from RefSeq and is a predicted model, not a curated record. The transcript has 3 exons.
AGAGCUGGUUGGGGAACAUCAGCCUGGAGCAGAAAGUCAUCGUUUUACCGCAGAGGAACAGGACAAAGUACUGGUGGUGAAUGGGGAUCGAAUGUCAAGAGGAGGAAUGUAGUGGAUUUAAUAUUAACAUUGACGGGAGCUCCAGGAUUUGAUGUUGUCUGCAAAUUUGCCAACCAACCCGUCUAUAUUUAUGUCCAAGAGGUGCAGCGACAAUGUUAGAGACCCGCGUUCGUUCCUGACUACGUGUGCUGUAUGGAGUUUGUACAUUCUCCCUGUGGCCACGUGGGUU